AGGGUGAUACUAGAUCAAACCAU
RNAcentral lists this non-coding RNA (23 nucleotides) under Arabidopsis thaliana (thale cress). The record is from RNAcentral. Lineage: Eukaryota; Viridiplantae; Streptophyta; Magnoliopsida; Brassicales; Brassicaceae.